GAGCUCGGGCGAGAGUAGUACUAGGAUGGGUGACCCCCUGGGAAGUCCUCGUGUUGCACUCCCUCACCCCCUUCCUUUUGCAUUUUCUUUUUCCUUUCUGGGGGAAGCUAACGAAAGGAAACGCGCGUACGAGUGAACGUGGCUUGGAAAAAGWGCACGCGCGACGUAAAACUCACAACGUGCGGCACUGACCCGUGGAAAUAUAGGCACAAAAUCGGAUAAUCGYAACGGUUGGGAAUAUAGGRGUAAAAAGGGAUAAGGAAAA
RNAcentral lists this ribosomal RNA (265 nucleotides) under Polyscias amplifolia. Lineage: Eukaryota; Viridiplantae; Streptophyta; Magnoliopsida; Apiales; Araliaceae. The record is from RNAcentral.